RNAcentral lists this ribosomal RNA (167 nucleotides) under uncultured eukaryote. Its description in RNAcentral is "partial 18S ribosomal RNA". It matches the Rfam family "Eukaryotic small subunit ribosomal RNA", at positions 1299 to 1458 of the family's 1831-position model. The record is from RNAcentral.
UGGUGGAGUGAUUUGUCUGGUUAAUUCCGUUAACGAACGAGACCUCAGCCUACUAUUGUAGUUUAUGUUCUUAUCGCUUUUCUCAUUCUUGUGAUGGGUUAUGUGAUAGGGCAAACUUCUUAGAGGGACUGUCAGUUUUCAGCUGACGGAAGUUUGAGGCAAUAACA